RNAcentral lists this ribosomal RNA (464 nucleotides) under uncultured bacterium. Its description in RNAcentral is "partial 16S ribosomal RNA". It matches the Rfam family "Bacterial small subunit ribosomal RNA", at positions 28 to 507 of the family's 1533-position model. The record is from RNAcentral.
GAUGAACGCUGGCGGCGUGCUUAACACAUGCAAGUCGAACGAUGAAGCCCAGCUUGCUGGGUGGAUUAGUGGCGAACGGGUGAGUAACACGUGAGUAACCUGCCCUUGACUUUGGGAUAACUUCAGGAAACUGGCUAAUACCGGAUAGGAGCUCCUGCUGCAUGGUGGGGGUUGGAAAGUUUCGGCGGUUGGGGAUGGACUCGCGGCUUAUCAGCUUGUUGGUGGGGUAGUGGCUUACCAAGGCUUUGACGGGUAGCCGGCCUGAGAGGGUGACCGGCCACAUUGGGACUGAGAUACGGCCCAGACUCCUACGGGAGGCAGCAGUGGGGAAUAUUGCACAAUGGGCGGAAGCCUGAUGCAGCAACGCCGCGUGCGGGAUGACGGCCUUCGGGUUGUAAACCGCUUUCGCCUGUGACGAAGCGUGAGUGACGGUAAUGGGUAAAGAAGCACCGGCUAACUACGUG